UCAAACAAAGAAGAGCUGAAGCCAAAGGACUCUGAACCGCAAGAGUCUGGGAGGAAAAGAGAUGGAGUCCACUAAGACGACAGCCUCACAGAGCCUGGAUAGAUGAUACAGAAACACACAGCCCCUCCACCAAGACCAGCAUUGAUGUAUUGCUGUGAUUAAAAUCAAUUCUUGCUAAUCAGUCA
This is a long non-coding RNA of Suricata suricatta (meerkat), 185 nucleotides long. RefSeq lists it as uncharacterized. The transcript has 2 exons. The record is from RefSeq and is a predicted model, not a curated record. NCBI's taxonomy places the organism in Eukaryota, Metazoa, Chordata, Mammalia, Carnivora, Herpestidae.